Long non-coding RNA from Melanotaenia boesemani (Boeseman's rainbowfish), 291 nucleotides. RefSeq lists it as uncharacterized. Lineage: Eukaryota; Metazoa; Chordata; Actinopteri; Atheriniformes; Melanotaeniidae. The record is from RefSeq and is a predicted model, not a curated record. The transcript has 3 exons.
UUAAUUCAAGCUACUUUAUAUCAACUUAGGCAUCCAUUAGGCUUUACUUUAACCCAUUAGUUCACCUAACUUUAAGUUGCAUAACCCCGGUUCUCUGAGUAGCAUGAGUGAGUGUCUCACUAUGGGAACACUCUGGGUGUGACCUCAUCAGAAGCUCCUAUUGCACUACUCCAGCGAGGAUUAGCUGGAGCAUGACUGUCAGUGCCAGGAAUUGUGGAGACCCUUUCCAUAUAAAAAUCAAGUGCAAGCACCACUUGACAAGCAGGUCAUUUAAAAAACACUCACCUCUUC